This 71-nucleotide transfer RNA is filed under the name Erysipelothrix larvae. It matches the Rfam family "tRNA". Rfam says of the family: Transfer RNA (tRNA) molecules are approximately 80 nucleotides in length. The record is from Rfam by way of RNAcentral. Lineage: Bacteria; Bacillati; Bacillota; Erysipelotrichia; Erysipelotrichales; Erysipelotrichaceae.
GCGAGUGUGGUACAAUGGUAGCACACGACCUUGCCAUGGUUGAGACGGGGGUUCGAUUCCCCUCACUCGCU